UAUUUAUAUAAUAUAAAUUAUUAUAUUUGACUUCCAAUCAAAAAAUCUAAAUUUUAGUAUAAAUAA
RNAcentral lists this transfer RNA (66 nucleotides) under Neolema sp. EMHAU-15071012. RNAcentral describes it as "tRNA-Gly". Lineage: Eukaryota; Metazoa; Arthropoda; Insecta; Coleoptera; Chrysomelidae. The record is from RNAcentral.